Molecule: ribosomal RNA, 969 nt
Filed under: Triticum aestivum (bread wheat)
Lineage: Eukaryota; Viridiplantae; Streptophyta; Magnoliopsida; Poales; Poaceae
Description: partial small subunit ribosomal RNA
Source: RNAcentral
AUGGAGGCGGCGGCGCAGACGACGAGCGUUGUGUGCGUGACCGGCGCAGGGGGCUUCGUCGCCUCGUGGCUCGUCAAGCUCCUCCUCUCCAAGCCCCACUUCACCGUCCGCGGCACCGUGCGCGAUCCCGAUGCUAAGAAUGCUCAUCUCAAGGCGCUAGAAGGUGCCGGGGAGAGGCUGCAGCUGCUCAGCGCCGACCUGAUGGACUACGGCAGCAUUGCGUCGGCGGUCGCUGGCUGUGAGGGCGUCUUCCAUGUUGCUAGCCCUGUCCCUUCUGGCAGACCAACCAACCCUGAGGAACAAGUUAUAGCCCCUGCAGUAACAGGCACACUGAAUGUGUUGAAGGCUUGCAACGAGGCAAAAGUUAAGCGAGUUGUCAUAGUGUCUUCAUGUGCCGCUGUGUUCAAUAAUCCUAACUGGCCUAAGGGCAAAGUAUUUACUGAAGACAGCUGGUCAGACGAGGAUCUCUGCAGAAAGGGUGAGGACUGGUAUUUGCUUUCCAAAACGCGCGCAGAGCGUGAGGCUUUUGCUUAUGCAGCAAAAACUGGGCUGGAUGUUGUAGCCAUUUUACCAUCGUUGGUACUUGGCCCCUUGAUGCAGCCUACAGUGAAUGCGAGCAGCAAAAUUCUUCUGAAAUAUCUCAAAGGAGAACAUGAGACUGUAGAAAAUAGAUUCUGGAAUCUAGUGGAUGUUCGUGAUGUUGCCGAUGCUCUUCUUUUGGCAUAUGAAAAUCCAGCGGCAUCUGGACGGUACAUCUGCAGUCCAGUACGAAUAAAAGUCUCUGAUGUCAUAAGCAUUCUGAAGACCUUAUAUCCAACGUACACUUAUCCCAAAAACUUUACGGAGGUGGAAGAAGGUAACGUUAUGAGUUCAGAGAAACUUCAGAAGCUAGGGUGGACCUUCAGGCCUGUAGAGAAGACCCUCGGAGACAGCGUCGAAUCCUACAAAGCAUCUGGCAUCCUGAACUGA